RNAcentral lists this ribosomal RNA (701 nucleotides) under Mycobacterium sp. RNAcentral's name for it is "bacterial SSU rRNA". It matches the Rfam family "Bacterial small subunit ribosomal RNA", at positions 115 to 830 of the family's 1533-position model. The record is from RNAcentral. Lineage: Bacteria; Bacillati; Actinomycetota; Actinomycetes; Mycobacteriales; Mycobacteriaceae.
ACGUGGGUGAUCUGCCCUGCACUUUGGGAUAAGCCUGGGAAACUGGGUCUAAUACCGGAUAGGACNACGGNCUGCAUGGGUUGUGGUGGAAAGCUUUUGCGGUGUGGGAUGGGCCCGCGGCCUAUCAGCUUGUUGGUGGGGUGAUGGCCUACCAAGGCGACGACGGGUAGCCGGCCUGAGAGGGUGACCGGCCACACUGGGACUGAGAUACGGCCCAGACUCCUACGGGAGGCAGCAGUGGGGAAUAUUGCACAAUGGGCGCAAGCCUGAUGCAGCGACGCCGCGUGGGGGAUGACGGCCUUCGGGUUGUAAACCUCUUUCACUAGGGACGAAGCGNAAGUGACGGUACCUAUAGAAGAAGCACCGGCCAACUACGUGCCAGCAGCCGCGGUAAUACGUAGGGUGCGAGCGUUGUCCGGAAUUACUGGGCGUAAAGAGCUCGUAGGUGGUUUGUCGCGUUGUUCGUGAAAACUCACAGCUUAACUGUGGGCGUGCGGGCGAUACGGGCAGACUAGAGUACUGCAGGGGAGACUGGAAUUCCUGGUGUAGCGGUGGAAUGCGCAGAUAUCAGGAGGAACACCGGUGGCGAAGGCGGGUCUCUGGGCAGUAACUGACGCUGAGGAGCGAAAGCGUGGGGAGCGAACAGGAUUAGAUACCCUGGUAGUCCACGCCGUAAACGGUGGGUACUAGGUGUGGGUUCC